RNAcentral lists this long non-coding RNA (699 nucleotides) under Solanum tuberosum (potato). RNAcentral describes it as "long non-coding RNA (STUB_LNC011568)". The record is from RNAcentral. Lineage: Eukaryota; Viridiplantae; Streptophyta; Magnoliopsida; Solanales; Solanaceae.
GUUUCUACAUUUACCAUGUGAUAAUUAGCUAGAACAUUUAAGCUAAUGGUACUACAUUAUGACAAAUGAAGAAUAAUAUUUGCUAGCAUUUUGUUAGUUAGGAUGUACUGCUUUUACAAUGUACUACUGCCCUUUUUUUUUUUAUGUGUUUAGUAAGUCAUAAAAAAUGAAAAAGGUAUGUUUGUUUGGAUAGUUAACUGCCUGCUAUUUUAUUACACAUGGUGUAAGAAAUUCUUUUAUCCAAAUGUGAAUGACUUAAUACAUGUUAGAUUAGUUGAGAUAUUUGCUCAAAAAUAGUAAAGUAUUUGCAUCACUUCAAGUUUACAUACAUUGUUGACUGAUCUUUGGCUCAAUAUUAAGUUACUAAUUUUUGCCUCUUUCUAUGUUUCAUGUACAACCGGAGGGCUGGAGUUUCUACUUUGAAACUCGUUAUUGGCCUAAAAUAUUAGGCCAACAGCAAUUAGGAUCAUCGCGAUGCUUGGAGUCUCGCAAAUUAGGAGUCCAAUAUUUCUUAGCCUUCCUCUUUUCAGGUCUUAAUUAUAUUGUUUGGAUAUAUUGGCUAACCUUUACUUACAAGUUUUGAUAUGUUGCUUGUCUUUUAUUUUGAAGCUUAUUUUACAUGAACUAAUAUUAUUUGUUUAUGAAUUUAGUUGAGACACCUUUAGAACAAAUGAUACAAAAGAUAUUUUCUUUAAAAAA